CCAGUAACGGCGAGUGAAGCGGCAACAGCUCAAAUUUGAAAUCUGGCCCCCAGGGUCCGAGUUGUAAUUUGUAGAGGAUGCUUUUGGCGAGGUGCCUUCCGAGUUCCCUGGAACGGGACGCCACAGAGGGUGAGAGCCCCGUCUGGUCGGCCACCGAGCCUCUGUAAAGCUCCUUCGACGAGUCGAGUAGUUUGGGAAUGCUGCUCAAAAUGGGAGGUAUAUGUCUUCUAAAGCUAAAUACUGGCCAGAGACCGAUAGCGCACAAGUAGAGUGAUCGAAAGAUGAAAAGCACUUUGAAAAGAGGGUUAAAAAGUACGUGAAAUUGUUGAAAGGGAAGCGCCUAUGACCAGACUUGGGCCCGGUGAAUCAUCCAGCGUUCUCGCUGGUGCACUUCGCCGGGCACAGGCCAGCAUCAGUUUGGCGCGGGGGAAAAAGGCUCUGGGAAUGUGGCUCCCCCGGGAGUGUUAUAGCCCACCGCGUAAUACCCUGCGCCGGACUGAGGUACGCGCAUUCGCAAGGAUGCUGGCGUAAUGGUCAUCAGCGACCCGUCUUGAAACACGGACCAAGGAGUCGUCUUCGUAUGCGAGUGUUCGGGUGUCAAACCCCUACGCGUAAUGAAAGUGAACGUAGGUGAGAGCUUCGGCGCAUCACCGACCGAUCCUGAUGUUCUCGGAUGGAUUUGAGUAAGAGCAUACGGGGCCGGACCCGAAAGAAGGUGAACUAUGCCUGUAUAGGGUGAAGCCAGAGGAAACUCUGGUGGAGGCUCGCAGCGGUUCUGACGUGCGAAUCGAUCGUCAAAUAUGGGC
Molecule: ribosomal RNA, 806 nt
Filed under: Clavicipitaceae sp. NHJ 6709
Lineage: Eukaryota; Fungi; Ascomycota; Sordariomycetes; Hypocreales; Clavicipitaceae
Description: LSU rRNA
Rfam family: Eukaryotic large subunit ribosomal RNA
Source: RNAcentral